RNAcentral lists this ribosomal RNA (407 nucleotides) under uncultured bacterium. RNAcentral's name for it is "partial 16S ribosomal RNA". It matches the Rfam family "Bacterial small subunit ribosomal RNA", at positions 29 to 526 of the family's 1533-position model. The record is from RNAcentral.
AUUGAACGCUGGCGGCAGGCCUAACACAUGCAAGUCGAGCGGAGCGGCGGACGGGCGAGUAAUGCCUAGGAAUCUGCCUGGCAGUGGGGGAUAACGUCCGGCAACGGGCGCUAACACCGCAUACUAUCAGAUGAGCCUAGGUCGGAUUAGCUAGUUGGUGGGGUAAAGGCGGACCAAGGCGACGAUCCGUAGCUGGUCUGAGAGGAUGAUCAGUCAAACUGGAACUGAGACACGGUCCAGCAGUCUACGGGAGGCAGCAGUGGGGAAUAGUGCAAGAUGGGCGCAAGCCGGAUGCAGCCAUGCCGCGGGUAUGAAGAAGGCCUUCGGGGUGUAAAGUACUUUCAGCGGGGAGUCGUUACCGGCAGGAGAAGCACAUGCUAACUCCGUGCCAGCAGCCGCGGUAAUUC